CCUGGUAACAUCCCAGCCAGAGUGUGGCAGGAGGCGGUGCCCUGCAGCUCAGAAUGCUCCAGAUGCCCGGCCCAGAGGAGGGCCACCUAUGUGGACCCCAAGGCCCGUGGGCAGCUCUCAGAGCUGACAGGCCCCUUGGCAGUCCGGGCUUUGACCUUCCUGCAGGCCCAUCCGUGGACAGCUGUGUGGAGGAGCAGCGUGCAGCCAGCAGGAGCCUGGCUGUCUGGCUCUGGCUGCUUUGGCCUGAGCCUGUCAAACUACUGACUUCCCCGUGGGCACCUGGUGUUGUCCUGGCUUUGGUGAACAAUCCUGCCCUGAGAACGGCCACUGGGAGACAUGUGCUGACAGCUGUGAGGCGAGCUGCCCACGUGAGGAGGGGCCUCCGGCCUGCCGCAGCCUGUGCCAUGCGCGCUGCCGUGUGGCCCUGGCCACUCUUGUGGGGUGCGGCCUGCGGGCGCCGGGCUCUCCGUGGCUGUCCCAGCAAGGCUGUGUCCCGGCUCUAGCGGCUCAAGAGCUGAGCCCCUCUACUGUGAGCUGUGUGAGUACGAGGAAGGGGAACCAUGUCCCUGUCGCCCCUAAGCUUGUGGAGAUGGAGCUCCAGGAUCCUGCACUCUGGGGCCUGGCACUGUGGAGUCCCAAGAGGCAGGUGACAGGUGAUCGCCAUCACCGCACCCUCACAGCCAGGGGUCCUGCCAACACGCGCUGCGCUGGACCUGUUGAGGGGGCUGGGGGCGCGGGGGUUUGCAGUGUGGGGAGAUAGUGAGUACUAAGCCCCACGGCCAGUGUGACUGGGACCAGAGAUCAGGUGGGGUAAGGUGGUGAAGGGAGCUCAGAUUCCGGGAGGCUCGGCAGGGGCUGGGACCUGGCGUAGAGCAGAUGCUCGAAGCUGAACAAAUAAACCCAGCAGAGAAAGGCUUCAGCACGUUCAUU
Molecule: long non-coding RNA, 930 nt
Filed under: Suricata suricatta (meerkat)
Lineage: Eukaryota; Metazoa; Chordata; Mammalia; Carnivora; Herpestidae
Description: lncRNA (ENSSSUG00005019311.1)
Source: RNAcentral